GAUGAACGCUGGCGGCGUGCUUAACACAUGCAAGUCGAACGAAGCACUUUAUUACAAUUUUUUCGGAAUGACGAUUUAGUGACUGAGUGGCGGACGGGUGAGUAACGCGUGGGUAACCUGCCUUAUACAGGGGGAUAACAGUUAGAAAUGACUGCUAAUACCGCAUAAGCGCACAGGAUUGCAUGAUCUGGUGUGAAAAACUCCGGUGGUAUAAGAUGGACCCGCGUCUGAUUAGCUGGUUGGUGAGGUAACGGCCCACCAAGGCGACGAUCAGUAGCCGACCUGAGAGGGUGACCGGCCACAUUGGGACUGAGACACGGCCCAAACUCCUACGGGAGGCAGCAGUGGGGAAUAUUGCACAAUGGGGGAAACCCUGAUGCAGCGACGCCGCGUGAGCGAAGAAGUAUUUCGGUAUGUAAAGCUCUAUCAGCAGGGAAGAAAAAAAUGACGGU
This 452-nucleotide ribosomal RNA is filed under the name uncultured bacterium. Its description in RNAcentral is "bacterial SSU rRNA". It matches the Rfam family "Bacterial small subunit ribosomal RNA", at positions 28 to 476 of the family's 1533-position model. The record is from RNAcentral.